CAAAAUUCAAAAUUAAAUAAAUAGAGCAGAAAGAAGAUAUUUGAAAUGACAUACCAGUCAUACUGCAGCCGAUAAAAGUGUGAAUUCCUUUUCCAAGAUUACUUACUUUGUGGACUCCACCUGCUAUCUCAUAAAGACACUUAAGCAGCAAUGUGGAGAGGUACACCUGAAAAGUAACGGAAUCCUUACGUCAGUAAUCUGCACUAAUUUGCCAGGUAAGUGAGUAAGCCAUCUUGAAAGCAGAUCUUCAUCUCUGUCAAACUUCCAGGUAACUGCAAACCCUAGCCAGCAUCCUGAUGGCAAGCUCAUGCAUGUGAGGUCAUACAUGUUUACUGUUUUUUUAUUCUAAUUUUUGAAGUAAUUUUCUAUGUAGCAUUAGAUUAAAAAUGCAGAUUAUUUUAUUCCAGAACUUCUCAAAGGCUUUAAUGUGCUGAUGUGUAUUUCAAUUUAGAGGAAAGUUUUACAUUACUCUGAGAAAUACAAAUAUUUUUAACCAAACUACUCAUUUCUCAACUGUAUUUCUUGUAAUAUGUAAAACACUCUGCAUAAAAAGAUGGUGUGUAUAAAAGCCAAUAUUAACUGGUAGCUAAUAUGUUCUAGUAUUUUUAUAUGCAUAAUAUAAUUGAAUCCUCACUAAGGUAUUACAAUGUAUUAUUUAUCCCAGUUAGCACUUAGUAGUAGUAAGGCUAAAAGAGAAGAAGAUUUUUCCCCUGAUAAGCCACAGUUGUUUUUCAUGGCAGUGGGGUUUAAAUGCAAGAUUUACUUAAUACAAUUGCAUAGGUGACUGAAGAGAUGGAUUUGCAACUAACUAGCUUUGGGUAUCAGUUUUUGUAAAUUAAAAUGAGGAAGCUGACAUUUUUGAUAUGUAUGCACUUUUUAAGCACCAAAAUUCUGUAGUUGCACUAUAUGAAUUGAAAAGCAGAAAAAAUAUUUUAUUAAUAUUCCAUCUCAACUUAGUAAAAGUAUUAAAUUUUUAAAAUAAUGUCAGGUUUACAAUGGCAAGAACCCAUUAUUUUGAAUCACAAAUAGUGGUUUUUAAAUUACUACUCCAACUAGCUACAUCAGAUGCUUCCGUAGCAAAUAAAAGCAAUUCUGGUAAUAUAACUGAGAAACUUACAUUCUCACCUAAGUAAUUAACAUUUAACUCCUCGGUCUGGAGAGGGAUCCAUGAAACAUAGAUCUUCCAAUAACUAAACAAAAUUAUAGUUCUAUUUUGUAAGCAAGGAAUUUUAUUGGAGGAGCCUAAUUAUUAGGCAACCAGUAAUGUCUGCUGAAACGAGAAUAUGAAAUAUAAAACGUUGAGCAUUACACAAUUUAAAUAUUCUGUUUUCUUCAGUGUCCUUACAUGUUAAAGGAGAAUUAUGCCUACCUUAAAGAGCUAUUUGAUUAUUACAUUGGGUAGUGUGAUUUUUAGUGUGCCU
Molecule: long non-coding RNA, 1421 nt
Filed under: Homo sapiens (human)
Lineage: Eukaryota; Metazoa; Chordata; Mammalia; Primates; Hominidae
Description: HSALNT0147905
Source: RNAcentral